This 468-nucleotide ribosomal RNA is filed under the name uncultured bacterium. Its description in RNAcentral is "partial 16S ribosomal RNA". It matches the Rfam family "Bacterial small subunit ribosomal RNA", at positions 28 to 507 of the family's 1533-position model. The record is from RNAcentral.
GACGAACGCUGGCGGCGUGCUUAACACAUGCAAGUCGAACGGAAAGGCCCUGCUUUUGUGGGGUGCUCGAGUGGCGAACGGGUGAGUAACACGGGAGUAACCUGCCCUGGACUUUGGGAUAACUUCAGGAAACUGGGGCUAAUACCGGAUAGGAGCUCCUGCUGCAUGGUGGGGGUUGGAAAGUUUCGGCGGGUGGGGAUGGACUCGCGGCUUAUCAGCUUGUUGGUGGGGUAGUGGCUUACCAAGGCUUUGACGGGUAGCCGGCCUGAGAGGGUGACCGGCCACAUUGGGACUGAGAUACGGCCCAGACUCCUACGGGAGGCAGCAGUGGGGAAUAUUGCACAAUGGGCGGAAGCCUGAUGCAGCAACGCCGCGUGCGGGAUGACGGCCUUCGGGUUGUAAACCGCUUUCGCCUGUGACGAAGCGUGAGUGACGGUAAUGGGUAAAGAAGCACCGGCUAACUACGUG